RNAcentral lists this ribosomal RNA (404 nucleotides) under uncultured Alphaproteobacteria bacterium. RNAcentral describes it as "bacterial SSU rRNA". It matches the Rfam family "Bacterial small subunit ribosomal RNA", at positions 378 to 774 of the family's 1533-position model. Lineage: Bacteria; Pseudomonadati; Pseudomonadota; Alphaproteobacteria. The record is from RNAcentral.
GAAGUCUGAUGGAGCAACGCCGCGUGAGUGAUGAAGGUUUUCGGAUCGUAAAACUCUGUUGUAAGGGAAGAACCAGUACGUCAGGCAAUGGACGUACCUUGACGGUACCUUAUUAGAAAGCCACGGCUAACUACGUGCCAGCAGCCGCGGUAAUACGAAGGGGGCUAGCGUUGCUCGGAAUUACUGGGCGUAAAGGGCGCGUAGGCGGAUCGUUAAGUCAGAGGUGAAAUCCCAGGGCUUAACCCUGGAACUGCCUUUGAUACUGGCGAUCUUGAGUAUGAGAGAGGUAUGUGGAACUCCGAGUGUAGAGGUGAAAUUCGUAGAUAUUCGGAAGAACACCAGUGGCGAAGGCGACAUACUGGCUCAUUACUGACGCUGAGGCGCGAAAGCGUGGGGAGCAAACA